GCAAGUCGAACGGUAACAUUUCUAGCUUGCUAGAAGAUGACGAGUGGCGGACGGGUGAGUAAUGCUUGGGAACUUGCCUUUACGAGGGGGAUAACAGUUGGAAACGACUGCUAAUACCGCAUAAUGUCUUCGGACCAAACGGGGCUUCGGCUCCGGCGCAAAGAGAGGCCCAAGUGAGAUUAGCUAGUUGGUAAGGUAACGGCUUACCAAGGCGACGAUCUCUAGCUGUUCUGAGAGGAAGAUCAGCCACACUGGGACUGAGACACGGCCCAGACUCCUACGGGAGGCAGCAGUGGGGAAUAUUGCACAAUGGGGGAAACCCUGAUGCAGCCAUGCCGCGUGUGUGAAGAAGGCCUUCGGGUUGUAAAGCACUUUCAGUUGUGAGGAAAAGUUAGUAGUUAAUACCUGCUAGCCGUGACGUUAACAACAGAAGAAGCACCGGCUAACUCCGUGCCAGCAGCCGCGGUAAUACGGAGGGUGCGAGCGUUAAUCGGAAUUACUGGGCGUAAAGCGCACGCAGGCGGUUUGUUAAGCUAGAUGUGAAAGCCCCGGGCUCAACCUGGAUGGUCAU
This 571-nucleotide ribosomal RNA is filed under the name uncultured bacterium. RNAcentral describes it as "bacterial SSU rRNA". It matches the Rfam family "Bacterial small subunit ribosomal RNA", at positions 57 to 626 of the family's 1533-position model. The record is from RNAcentral.